GAUGAACGCUAGCGGCAGGCCUAAUACAUGCAAGUCGAGGGGCAGCGCGGUAGCAAUACUGGCGGCGACCGGCGCACGGGUGCGUAACACGUAUGCAACCUACCUUCAACUGGAGGAUAGCCCGGGGAAACUCGGAUUAAUACUCCAUAACACAGGGAUCCCGCAUGGGAAUAUUGUUAAAGCUACGGCGGUUGAAGAUGGGCAUGCGUUCGAUUAGCUAGUUGGUGUAGGUAACGGCUCACCAAGGCUACGAUCGAUAGGGGGUCUGAGAGGAUGAUCCCCCACACUGGUACUGAGAUACGGACCAGACUCCUACGGGAGCAGCAGUAGGAUAUGGUCAAUGGGGCGCAAGCCUGAACCAGCCAUGCCGCGUGCAGGAAGAAGGCCCUCUGGGUUGUAAACCGCUUUUGAUAGGGAACAAAUGCCACUUGCGAGUGGAGCUGAGUGUACCUAUAGAAUAAGCACCGGCUAACUCCGUGCCAGCAGCCGCGG
RNAcentral lists this ribosomal RNA (492 nucleotides) under uncultured bacterium. RNAcentral's name for it is "bacterial SSU rRNA". It matches the Rfam family "Bacterial small subunit ribosomal RNA", at positions 28 to 520 of the family's 1533-position model. The record is from RNAcentral.